RNAcentral lists this ribosomal RNA (406 nucleotides) under uncultured bacterium. Its description in RNAcentral is "partial 16S ribosomal RNA". It matches the Rfam family "Bacterial small subunit ribosomal RNA", at positions 30 to 526 of the family's 1533-position model. The record is from RNAcentral.
AUUGAACGCUGGCGGCAGGCCUAACACAUGCAAGUCGAACGAGUGGCGGACGGGUGAGUAAUGUCUGGGAAACUGCCCGAUGGAGGUGGGUAACUACUGGAAACGGUAGCUAAUACCGCAUACCAUCGGAUGUGCCCAGAUUGGAUUAGCUUGUAGGUGGGGUAACGGCUCACCUAGGCAACGAUGCCUAGCUUGCCUGAGAGGAUGACCAGCCACACUGGAACUGAGACACGGUCCAGACUCCUACGGGAGGCAGCAGUGGGGAAUAUUGCGCAAUGGGCGCAAGCCUGACGCAGCCAUGCCGCGUGUAUGAAGAAGGCCUUCGGGUUGUAAAGUACUUUCAGCAGGGAGGCGUUACCCGCAGAAAAAGCCCCGGCUAACUCCGUGCCAGCAGCCGCGGUAAUUC